Molecule: RNA transcript, 1836 nt
Organism: Phyllostomus discolor (pale spear-nosed bat)
Lineage: Eukaryota; Metazoa; Chordata; Mammalia; Chiroptera; Phyllostomidae
Gene: TIMM22
Gene name: translocase of inner mitochondrial membrane 22
Exons: 4
Source: RefSeq, a predicted model, not a curated record
GCUGCAUAAACCUGAUUCAGUACCACAAGAGGGAAACAUAAUAGUUCUGCUAGGUGCGCACGAAUGGAUUUGAGUUCUGCAAUUUCUUCGGACUUGCUCGAAGUGACGAAUCAGCGGUUACGACACAGUGCCUGGGCACGCAAAGUCCGAACGUGAAGCUCGCGGAAUCUGCUGCAGGAGGAAGGACGCCAGGGUUUCUUGGGCAACUGCAGUCAUGGCGGCCUCUGCGCCCAGUGCCGGUGGCUCCGAGCCUGAGGCGGCGGGUUCCACCGAAGCUCAGCUGCAGUACAGCCUUCUUCUCCAGUACUUGGUGGGUGACAAGCGUCAGCCCCGGGUCCUGGAGCCUGGAAGCCUGGGCGGGAUCCCGAGUCCAGUCAAGAGCGAUGAACAGAAGAUGAUCGAGAAGGCGAUGGAAAGUUGCGCCUUCAAGGCAGCGCUAGCCUGCGUGGGAGGAUUUGUCUUGGGCGGUGCAUUUGGGGUGUUCACUGCCGGCAUCGACACCAAUGUGGGCUUUGACCCCAAGGACCCUUACCGCACUCCGACGGCAAGAGAAGUUCUUAAAGACAUGGGGCAGAGAGGAAUGUCCUACGCCAAAAAUUUUGCCAUUGUGGGCGCCAUGUUUUCUUGCACUGAGUGUUUGGUAGAAUCUUACCGGGGAAGGUCCGACUGGAGGAACAGUGUCAUCAGCGGCUGCAUUACCGGAGGAGCCAUCGGUUUCAGAGGUCAGUAAACACCCUGCAGUGGUUCUCCCUGUGGCCUUGGACAGCAGGCUGGAGUUGACAUUUCUGAACAUAGGAGUGUUCCAGGGACAGCCCCAGCUGGCUUAAAGGCUGGGGUCAUUGGGUGCGGAGGCUUCGCGGCUUUCUCCGCUGCAAUCGAUUACUAUCUGCGGUGAGAGUGACGGCCUGCCUGGAAGGACAGCCCCAGCCCAGGGUCAGAGCUGCUCUGAGGGGGGCAUUUUCUGUACCACCCGGGCACUCGCUUCCCACGCUGAAGACAUUGAUUUUCCCCCCAGUGGCUGAUGUCGUGAGGGUGCCGCCUGGCCGCUGUGUGCCUCCAGCCUCUGAGCAGCCACGCUCCCUGCUCCUGGACUCCAGCCAGGCCGUGCGGGGACGUGCCGUCCAGCCUCUCUCUUUCCGGCAGCUUAGGAGUCAGCGUGUCGACUUGUAGAAACUAAGCUCCACAGAGACUCAGUCCUGACCACCCCGGCCCUCCCGUUGUUUGGUGCCGUGGGAGCAGGAGGGACUUCACAUGGACGCAGGAAGCUGUUCCACCUGGGAACGCCACGCGGUCACCAUCCCACGGGUCGGGGCCGGGCCAAGUGACCUUACGCCUUCCGGCCAAUUAUGUCAUUGUGUUUAGUAUUCUGCUAUCCUUGUUAAAAAUAUGUAUUUAUAUUACAGUUUAAAUGGUUUAUUUUUACUUUCAAUUUUAUAAUUCCCCCAAAAUGGUGCCAGGUAGCCCAAAGACUAAACCUCCAAAGGAGAGAAAUUGAGAAAGCUCCUGAGGAGCGUGGGGUUGUUGGGUUCUCAGGGCUUGUGCAGUGGUGCUGCCUUCACGGAGCCUGAGACGCUGGCCAGGGCUUCCCGCCCAAGAAGCUGAGCCUCGCUCCGUCCUAGGACACACUGCAACCCAUGUGUAAGUCCUGCUGGCCUCCUCCAAAAACUCUCCUGUGGGCUGGCCUGAACCUCCCGCUGCCGUAAGGCUUUGAGCACUGGAUUAGGCCCAGCUCAGGACAGCAUGUGAUGGUCCGGCUGUCAUCACCCUGAUGGCUGAGUGACAGUGGGCACUGGAUAAAAUCCGAUGCUGCUGAGCGGCUGCUCACCUCCACCUUCG